GCAUCAAAUAUUUUUGGUUAGUACUAUUUUUCAUUCUAUAAAUGUAUGUGCUAUUUUCUCAAACACUACAUUUGGUGUUUGAUUCUGGUAUAGGCACUGUUAUUUCUUCCUUCUUGAUGGACAGAAAAAGAAGGAAAAGUCUCCAUAUACUGUGUGAAAUUUAUAGACUUGUUUGGAGAUUAUUUGUUCUGUUCUUUUUGUAACCAAUGAGAGCUUAAAGACAGUCACAAUCUCAUAUAGUGGGCACAUUAGCUGGAGGCUUUAUUCUGGAUUAUAUGGUUGUAAUUUGUAAAUGACCUUUCUGAUUAGACAAACAUUUAAAAACUUAACAAUUCUUCAUACUACACAUAGUUUACCAUCUAAUUGCAGUCACUUUGAAGCUACAGACCAACAAUAGUAGACCUUAGCUUAAAAUACAUAUACUAGAAAUCAUUAAAACAUUAGAUUAUUUAGUGUCCUUAUAUUGACCAAUUUAUGUAUGUGUGUAUAUGGUCUUUGAUAUGAAUCUCUCCAAGAAACAACAACAUUGAAUGUUAGAGCAAAUAUAAUUUAUGUGUCUGGCUUUAGAAUGGUUGGCCUGUUAUUUGAAGAUUAACUUAUUUGUCAUUUAUAUGAUGAUUAUUUAUAGAGAGAUUAACAUGUGUGUGAUUUGUGUGAAAAUAUAUUUUGGCAUGUCAAUUCUUUCGGCUCUUAUUUCUAUUACGAAUAGAUGCGGAAACAAAUACUAAGAUAGUACAAACUUACUGUAUUGUUGGCAUGUCAGUCCUUUCAGCUCUUAUUUCCUACUGUUUUUGUAGGGCCAAUGCCACCAUCUCAUCGGAGAUCACUUUAUACUUAGUUUCAAUGAUUAUGUUUUCUUCAAAAAUAUACAACAUUAUCCCUCUUGUUCAAAGUACCAAGACAAGGCUUACAAAGAGAAAGAUUUGUUACUGUCAUUAAGAGAGAAGCUGCUAGAAGAAUUCUCACCGGAUGAUACGUGUAAGAUUGGAUCUUAGUUGACCACGAAUAUUCUCAAGGUGUGUCAUGUGGAUUUCUGAAUGAUUUAUUUUGUUCCAAAACUAUUAACUUUGUAAUCGAUGUUUUCACAUUUUUCAGGAUGGUUCAUUAGUUCAUGAUGAUUUUAUCUAUGAACUAUAUGAAAGUAAAUUAAAACAAACUCCAAUAUUGUCCACGGAGGUCCCUACAUUUUUGAGUGCUAAUCAACGUUUAGAAUUAGUAUGUGACACAUUUAUUGCCCUCAUACAUUUUUGUGUUCAUUGGAUUGCAUUAUAAGCUCUUCUCUUACCAGUGACAGAAAAUUUGGCGCAACACUUUUGAGCACAGGUUUCGACCCAUCUCAUCCUGCUGGAAGGAUUUUUGUAUCGACUUCAUUUGAUACGCCUUACGAGGAUAUGGCUGAUAACUGCGAAGUACUUAUAAUGGGAAAGCACAAUAUGUCUAGAUUGACGAGUACCGUCGAUCAAACACAAGAAAGUUCAGCGAACUCCACUUUACCAACUCACGACAGUGAAUCGAAAACCACAGACUCAUCUCCCCAUGACGAUCUCUUGAAGGUCUCUGAAAACAAGAGAGCAUCAACGUCAAUAUCUUUUAUAUUCCAGCUGCCUUCAUUUUUUCAAGGUCUCUGAAAACAAGAGAGCAUCAACGUCAAUAUCUUUUAUAUUCCAGCACAAGUAUAUUGUGUUAGUUUUCACAUUUAUAUGAAUGCUUGAAACCUACAGAAAGAAGAAGCCAUAGCUAUCAACUCGAAUUUUCGUUAAACUAUUACAUAUAGAUGCUUCACAAACAAGAUGUUAAUUAUGUUUUAGCAUAUUAAAUUAAUUAAUUGAUAGUGCAUUCUGGUAUGAUUGUCACUCAGUACUAAGCAACAUAUUGCAUUUUUAUUGUAUGCUUUAUUUUUUGUUAAUCCACAUGGAACUUUUCCCCUUUGAAAAUUUGAUGUCCCAUUAGUAACUCAUCAGCACUAUGGUCCUUAAUAGUGAUGGAUGCUGAUUUUGUUUUGUAGAUAUUAAAAUUAAGAUCUAAAUAGUUCAAUAAAAUUUAAGUGUUUAUUCUAUUCUUUUUGGAGCUAUUUGUGAUGCCUGCAUAUUAGUUCUCAUAAACUAGUUACAAUUGGUUGCCUUUUGCCUUUAAUUGUAAAUCACUCUGUACCAGAGGAUUUUCCAAUAUAUACUAGUUAUAAUUCAGUAUCCUGUUAAUCUCAAUUUCUCUUUCAUAUUUGUUCUUCAUUUGAUUUUUUGUGUGCAAUCCAAUAAUUGGACAGUUCUUAAGUCAGAAUUUGAUACGGGCAAGAGGUUCAAUUUGAGAGUAUAUUUUUAAAUUUUAGCUUGAGAUUUGCUAUGAUAUUUUUGUGGCGAAUUUGAAGCUAUUUAGUUAGAAAACCUAAAUUGAAGACCGAAUUUAGCUAGAGUUUGGUUGUGAUUUAGCUAGGUAUAUUUAAAUAUUAGCUGGUACUUUGCUAGGAAAUUUUUGUAUAGAUAAUUAGCCACCCAAUCCAUGCUACGGCUUAUAUUGUAGUUAAUCCCAAACAAAUCUCCAACUAACUUGGUUUGAUAGAGAUUAGCUACAAAUUUGUUUCUGUUUCUGUCGUAGCUAAACUCCGAUUUUCUUGUAGUGAAAGAUAGAAUACAUACAAAAUGUGGCUAGUAAGAAGAGAGGCAAAAGAGAGAGCUUGGCAUAAGCCAUAAUGCUUGAAGGAAUAAAAGCUAGUUAGGUUGGAGUUGUGUUGUAUUGUGUUGCAUUAGUUCAUUCUUACAUAUAUUCAUUUAUAGACAAAACUUGUGUGUUGUGCCACAUUUUUCUCCACACAUUAACAAUGCCAAAAAUUAUUAAAUUAUCUUCUUCCCUAGAUGUUCGGAUAAUAAUGUUGCUCCCUUUUUUCUGGGAUUGUAUAGAAUUCUCUAGCAGUAAGUUUUAGCUUGCCGACAGUUUAUCAAUUUGAUAAUAUCUGAAUUAAAGUGGAUUAUUUUUUAAUCAGAAGUUCUGAUUGAAAUCUUUUAGAAAUUAUGAUUCGGUUAUUACUAACGUUUCAUUGUCUAAGUUGAUUCAGAACCUCUUUUAAAGCAAAACAGCUGUAACGUUUUAUCUCGGAUGGUAAACCUGUCUUUACUAUUCAUGGAUAAGCGCGCUUGCAGUUGAAGGGACGCCGACCAUAGGUAACUGUGCUAGUCACCUCAUUUGUCUUUAUUAUCUCUCCUCAUGUCACGUAACAUUAAAUGCUAUCCAUCAUUUGUUUCAUUUUAUUUUCUUUUAAAUACUCUUCAAAUGCUUCUCCUUCCCUCUUAUAUUUUCUCUAUUACACUCUGUCUUUGUUUUCUUUCUCUAUCUCUUUGCAUUCAUAUCAAACCCUAGCUGUUCAUUAUCUGCAAAUCCAUCAUGAACUCUUCAUCAAGCCCAGGAAACCAUGAAAAUGAUCAAAACAAAAAGAGAAAAGCUGUUGAAACAUCUUCUUCCAAACCCAAAAAGAUAAAGAUCACCUAUGACCCUCUCAAGGUGAAUCCAUUCGAAGCAAAGUUGUCUGGAAACUAUUCUAGACGUGUGUUUCAACCCCCUGGUGAAAGCCCUCCAUCAUCUCCAUCUUCUUCCUCAUCUUUUUACCUUCAAGACUCAACUUCCUCUUCAUCUAACCUUUCCUCUCCCUCAACCCAUUCCAAAGAAAUCUCUUCAUUUUCACCUGCUGAGAAUGUUGUCUCUGAUAGAGAUUGUGGAAGAUCUGCAUCAGAAUCAAGUCUCCCUGACCCCUCGCCUGGAAGCCCAAGAAGCAGUCAAUGAUGCGUUUCACUCCUUCAUGGCAAGGAAAACUGCAAAUUAUGACAGGGUUCAAGACAUGCUGGCGCAGAUUUUGUCUUAGCUAGGGUCUUAGUCUUUGGUCUUAGUAGUUUUCUUUCCUUGUUGCAUCUGCUUGUUAAACAUC
This is a long non-coding RNA of Vicia villosa (hairy vetch), 3913 nucleotides long. RefSeq lists it as uncharacterized. The record is from RefSeq and is a predicted model, not a curated record. The transcript is spliced from 3 exons. Lineage: Eukaryota; Viridiplantae; Streptophyta; Magnoliopsida; Fabales; Fabaceae.